UGAGGGUAGCUCAGUCAGUAGAGCAUGAGACGCUUAAUCUCAGGGUUAUGGGUUUAAGCCUCAAAUUGGGCAAAA
Non-coding RNA from Podarcis lilfordi (Lilford's wall lizard), 75 nucleotides. The record is from the annotation of a GenBank genome assembly. Lineage: Eukaryota; Metazoa; Chordata; Lepidosauria; Squamata; Lacertidae.